GAUGAACGCUGACAGAAUGCUUAACACAUGCAAGUCGACUCGAGUCUUCGGACUUGGGUGGCGCACGGGUGAGUAACGCGUAAAGAACUUGCCUCUUAGACCGGGACAACAUCUGGAAACGGAUGCUAAUACCGGAUAUUAUGGUUUUUUCGCAUGGAGGAAUCAUGAAAGCUAGAUGCGCUAAGAGAGAGCUUUGCGUCCCAUUAGCUAGUUGGUGAGGUAACGGCCCACCAAGGCAAUGAUGGGUAGCCGGCCUGAGAGGGUGAACGGCCACAAGGGGACUGAGACACGGCCCUUACUCCUACGGGAGGCAGCAGUGGGGAAUAUUGGACAAUGGACCACAAGUCUGAUCCAGCAAUUCUGUGUGCACGAUGACGUUUUUCGGAAUGUAAAGUGCUUUCAGUCUGGAAGAAGUCAGUGACGGUACCGACAGAAGAAUCGACGGCUAAAUACGUGCCAGCACUCGCGGUAAUUCGUAUGUCUCAAGCUUUAUCCGGAUUUUAUUGGGCGUUUAGAGCGUCUUGGCGGUGAGGUAAGUCUGAUGUGAAAUGCUGUGCUCACCUCCUUAUGGAGUUGUUGACUGCCUUACUGUAGUUCUGGUGAGGUAUGCGGAUCUUCUGUGUUUUAUGUGUGAUUCUAUAUUGUUGUAGGAAGACAAGGGGAACCCCUCGAUUGUGUUGAUUUGUUUUGUAUUGCUAAUGUUUUGUAUUAACAUAUAUUUAUUCUUUAUCCUGUUGCUAUUUAUUUUGUUUAUGUGUGUUUGUGUUGCGCUUGCCCUCUGGGAUAAACAUAUAAAUAUUAUAAUUAGUGCCUUAGUGUUUGUGCUAGUAUAUG
This 834-nucleotide ribosomal RNA is filed under the name uncultured Eikenella sp. RNAcentral describes it as "bacterial SSU rRNA". It matches the Rfam family "Bacterial small subunit ribosomal RNA", at positions 28 to 730 of the family's 1533-position model. The record is from RNAcentral. Lineage: Bacteria; Pseudomonadati; Pseudomonadota; Betaproteobacteria; Neisseriales; Neisseriaceae.